Molecule: transfer RNA, 73 nt
Filed under: subsurface metagenome
Description: tRNA-Thr
Rfam family: tRNA
About the family: Transfer RNA (tRNA) molecules are approximately 80 nucleotides in length. Their secondary structure includes four short double-helical elements and three loops (D, anti-codon, and T loops).
Source: RNAcentral
GUCCACGUAGCUCAGGUGGUAGAGCACAUCCUUGGUAAGGAUGAGGUCACCGGUUCGAGCCCGGUCGUGGGCU